AUCUCUGGCGCCGCUCAUCCACCCUCGCAAACUUUGGAACACUAUCUGUUUCUCUCAAUUUCAUUAACUAUUUCGUACUUUUGUCGAGAUUUCCGGCGCCUGAAGAGCCAAUGAAUGAAAGGGAGCCUCUAGUGAAAACAACAGAUGAGGGCGGAAAA
Caenorhabditis elegans is the source of this 158-nucleotide non-coding RNA. NCBI's taxonomy places the organism in Eukaryota, Metazoa, Nematoda, Chromadorea, Rhabditida, Rhabditidae. The record is from Ensembl.